This 36-nucleotide ribosomal RNA is filed under the name Pelobates cultripes (western spadefoot toad). RNAcentral describes it as "SSU_rRNA_eukarya". Lineage: Eukaryota; Metazoa; Chordata; Amphibia; Anura; Pelobatidae. The record is from RNAcentral.
AGGGAGCCUGAGAAACGGUUACCACAUCCAAGGAAG